AUUGAACGCUGGCGGCAUGCUUUACACAUGCAAGUCGAACGGUAACAGGCCGCAAGGUGCUGACGAGUGGCGAACGGGUGAGUAAUGCAUCGGAACGUGCCCAGUCGUGGGGGAUAACUACUCGAAAGAGUAGCUAAUACCGCAUACGAUCUAUGGAUGAAAGCGGGGGACCGUAAGGCCUCGCGCGAUUGGAGCGGCCGAUGUCAGAUUAGGUAGUUGGUGGGGUAAAGGCUCACCAAGCCAACGAUCUGUAGCUGGUCUGAGAGGACGACCAGCCACACUGGGACUGAGACACGGCCCAGACUCCUACGGGAGGCAGCAGUGGGGAAUUUUGGACAAUGGGCGCAAGCCUGAUCCAGCAAUGCCGCGUGCAGGAAGAAGGCCUUCGGGUUGUAAACUGCUUUUGUACGGAACGAAACGGCGCUGGUUAAUACCCGGGGCUAAUGACGGUACCGAAAGAAUAAGCACCGGCUAACUACGUG
This 482-nucleotide ribosomal RNA is filed under the name uncultured bacterium. RNAcentral describes it as "partial 16S ribosomal RNA". It matches the Rfam family "Bacterial small subunit ribosomal RNA", at positions 30 to 507 of the family's 1533-position model. The record is from RNAcentral.